RNAcentral lists this ribosomal RNA (667 nucleotides) under uncultured bacterium. Its description in RNAcentral is "bacterial SSU rRNA". It matches the Rfam family "Bacterial small subunit ribosomal RNA", at positions 56 to 718 of the family's 1533-position model. The record is from RNAcentral.
UGCAAGUCGAACGGCAGCGGGGGCUUCGGCCUGCCGGCGAGUGGCGAACGGGUGAGUAAUGCAUCGGAACGUACCCAGUCGUGGGGGAUAACUACGCGAAAGCGUAGCUAAUACCGCAUACGCCCUGAGGGGGAAAGCGGGGGACCUUCGGGCCUCGCGCGAUUGGAGCGGCUGAUGUCGGAUUAGCUAGUUGGUGGGGUAAAGGCCUACCAAGGCGACGAUCCGUAGCUGGUCUGAGAGGAUGAUCAGCCACACUGGGACUGAGACACGGCCCAGACUCCUACGGGAGGCAGCAGUGGGGAAUUUUGGACAAUGGGCGCAAGCCUGAUCCAGCCAUGCCGCGUGAGUGAAGAAGGCCUUCGGGUUGUAAAGCUCUUUCAGACGGAAAGAAAUCGGGCGCGUGAAUAGCGUGCUUGGAUGACGGUACUGUCAGAAGAAGCACCGGCUAACUACGUGCCAGCAGCCGCGGUAAUACGUAGGGUGCGAGCGUUAAUCGGAAUUACUGGGCGUAAAGCGUGCGCAGGCGGUUGUGUAAGACAGGUGUGAAAUCCCCGGGCUUAACCUGGGAACUGCGCUUGUGACUGCACGGCUAGAGUACGGCAGAGGGGGGUGGAAUUCCACGUGUAGCAGUGAAAUGCGUAGAUAUGUGGAGGAACACCGAUGGCGA